GAGCUUUGGCAGCACAUACACUAAAACAGAAACAAGAAAGAAAGGAUUAUCAAACUCCCCGUACAAGGAUAACAUGAAAAUCUGAGGAGUGUUCCAUAUUUUU
Myodes glareolus (Bank vole) is the source of this 103-nucleotide small nuclear RNA. The record is from RefSeq and is a predicted model, not a curated record. NCBI's taxonomy places the organism in Eukaryota, Metazoa, Chordata, Mammalia, Rodentia, Cricetidae.